This 578-nucleotide ribosomal RNA is filed under the name uncultured bacterium. RNAcentral describes it as "bacterial SSU rRNA". It matches the Rfam family "Bacterial small subunit ribosomal RNA", at positions 102 to 694 of the family's 1533-position model. The record is from RNAcentral.
ACGGGUGAGUAACACGUGAGCAACCUGCCCUGGACUCUGGGAUAAGCGCUGGAAACGGUGUCUAAUACUGGAUAUGAGAUGUGAUCGCAUGGUCAUGUUUGGAAAGAUUUUUCGGUCUGGGAUGGGCUCGCGGCCUAUCAGCUUGUUGGUGAGGUAAUGGCUCACCAAGGCGUCGACGGGUAGCCGGCCUGAGAGGGUGACCGGCCACACUGGGACUGAGACACGGCCCAGACUCCUACGGGAGGCAGCAGUGGGGAAUAUUGCACAAUGGGCGGAAGCCUGAUGCAGCAACGCCGCGUGAGGGAUGACGGCCUUCGGGUUGUAAACCUCUUUUAGCAGGGAAGAAGCGUAAGUGACGGUACCUGCAGAAAAAGCGCCGGCUAACUACGUGCCAGCAGCCGCGGUAAUACGUAGGGCGCAAGCGUUAUCCGGAAUUAUUGGGCGUAAAGAGCUCGUAGGCGGUUUGUCGCGUCUGCUGUGAAAUCCCGAGGCUCAACCUCGGGUCUGCAGUGGGUACGGGCAGACUAGAGUGCGGUAGGGGAGAUUGGAAUUCCUGGUGUAGCGGUGGAAUGCGCAGA